This 458-nucleotide ribosomal RNA is filed under the name Bacillus subtilis. Its description in RNAcentral is "bacterial SSU rRNA". It matches the Rfam family "Bacterial small subunit ribosomal RNA", at positions 372 to 821 of the family's 1533-position model. Lineage: Bacteria; Bacillati; Bacillota; Bacilli; Caryophanales; Bacillaceae. The record is from RNAcentral.
UGGACGAAAGUCUGACGGAGCAACGCCGCGUGAGUGAUGAAGGCUUUCGGGUCGUAAAACUCUGUUGUUAGGGAAGAACAAGUGCUAGUUGAAUAAGCUGGCACCUUGACGGUACCUAACCAGAAAGCCACGGCUAACUACGUGCCAGCAGCCGCGGUAAUACGUAGGUGGCAAGCGUUAUCCGGAAUUAUUGGGCGUAAAGCGCGCGCAGGUGGUUUCUUAAGUCUGAUGUGAAAGCCCACGGCUCAACCGUGGAGGGUCAUUGGAAACUGGGAGACUUGAGUGCAGAAGAGGAAAGUGGAAUUCCAUGUGUAGCGGUGAAAUGCGUAGAGAUAUGGAGGAACACCAGUGGCGAAGGCGACUUUCUGGUCUGUAACUGACACUGAGGCGCGAAAGCGUGGGGAAAGAACAGGAUUAGAUACCCUGGUAGUCCACGCCGUAAACUAAAAGGGCUAAGU